Molecule: ribosomal RNA, 479 nt
Filed under: uncultured bacterium
Lineage: Bacteria
Description: partial 16S ribosomal RNA
Rfam family: Bacterial small subunit ribosomal RNA
Source: RNAcentral
GAUGAACGCUAGCGGGAGGCCUAACACAUGCAAGCCGAGCGGUAUUGUUUCUUCGGAAAUGAGAGAGCGGCGUACGGGUGCGUAACACGUGUGCAACCUGCCUUUAUCUGGGGGAUAGCCUUUCGAAAGGAAGAUUAAUACUCCAUAAUAUAUUGAACGGCAUCGUUUAAUAUUGAAAGCUCCGGCGGAUAGAGAUGGGCACGCGCAAGAUUAGCUAGUUGGUGAGGUAACGGCUCACCAAGGCGAUGAUCUUUAGGGGGCCUGAGAGGGUGAUCCCCCACACUGGUACUGAGACACGGACCAGACUCCUACGGGAGGCAGCAGUGAGGAAUAUUGGUCAAGGGGUGCAAGCCUGAACCAGCCAUCCCGCGUGAAGGAAGACUGCCCUAUGGGUUGUAAACUUCUUUUGUAUAGGGAUAAACCUACCCUCGUGAGGGUAGCUGAAGGUACUAGACGAAUAAGCACCGGCUAACUCCGUG